Molecule: long non-coding RNA, 507 nt
Filed under: Mytilus galloprovincialis (Mediterranean mussel)
Lineage: Eukaryota; Metazoa; Mollusca; Bivalvia; Mytilida; Mytilidae
Source: RNAcentral
CCCCUUUUUCCUAAACUGUUGGGACCAAAACUCCCAAAAUCAAUACCAACCUUCCUUUUAUGGUCAUAAACCUUGUGUUUAAAUUUCAUAGAUUUCUAUUUACUUAUACUAACGUUAUGGUGCGAAAACCAAGAAAAAUGCUUAUUUGGGUCCCUUUUUGGCCCCUAAUUCCUAAACUGUUGGGUCCUAAACUCCCAAAAUCAAUACCAACCUUCCUUUUGUGGUCAUAAACAUUGUGUUUAAAUUUCAUCGAUUUCUAUUUACUUAAACUAAAGUUAUUGUGCGAAAACCAAGAAAAAUGCUUAUUUGGGCCCUUUAUUGGCCCCUUAUUCCUAAACUGUUGAAACCAAAACUCCCAAAAUCAAUCCCAAUCUUUCUUUUGUGGUUAUAAACCUUGUGUCAAAAUUUCAUAGAUUUCUAUUAACUUAAACUAAAGUUAUGGUGCGAAAACCAAGAAAAUGCUUAUUUGGGCCCUUUUUGGCCCCCAAUUCCUAAAAUGUUGGGACC